Non-coding RNA from Vicia faba (fava bean), 249 nucleotides. The record is from the annotation of a GenBank genome assembly. NCBI's taxonomy places the organism in Eukaryota, Viridiplantae, Streptophyta, Magnoliopsida, Fabales, Fabaceae.
AUGAUUAAUCUUUUUUGGAAUAUCAAGGGAGUUGCUAAAGCUCCGCCGAGAUUAACACUUAAGAGGCUCAUCAAUCUUCACAAGCCCGAUUUUAUUUUCAUUCCUGAACCCAAAAUGAGUUACAAAAAUUUUCCUAUCAACUGGUUUUCCAACCUUGGUUUUCGCUUUUUUGCUUUCAGCACCAACCCUUUACCUUCUCUCUGGUGUUUUUGCAGGAAGGAUCUUCAUUUUAUUCUUCAGACCACAUAA